GCUUUCGAGGAGCGUUGCAAGGGCCCCCUGUUGAUCAGGCGAGUUGCCCCCAGGCUCGAAAGACACGUGAACCCUCAUGUGAUGUGCAACCGCGCUCACCCGCA
Molecule: non-coding RNA, 104 nt
Filed under: Aquabacterium sp. NJ1
Lineage: Bacteria; Pseudomonadati; Pseudomonadota; Betaproteobacteria; Burkholderiales; Sphaerotilaceae
Also listed under: 1 other name
Description: SAH (S-adenosyl-L-homocysteine) riboswitch aptamer
Rfam family: SAH (S-adenosyl-L-homocysteine) riboswitch aptamer
Source: Rfam by way of RNAcentral